CGCAUCUGUGCAUGCAGCAUAUCAAUAAGCGGAGGAAAAGAAACUAACAAGGAUUCCCUUAGUAACGGCGAGUGAAGCGGGAAGAGCUCAAAUUUGAAAUCUUCAAGGUUCUACCUUGACGAAUUGUAGUUUAAAGAAGUGUUUUCUGUUAGAUGAGUAGCAAAAGUUCCUUGGAAUGGGACAUCAUAGAGGGUGAGAAUCCCGUAUUUGGUUAUUCAUUCUAGCUUUGUGAUACACUUUCAAAGAGUCGGAUUGUUUGGGAAUGCAGUCCAAAAUGAGUGGUAAAUUUCAUCUAAAGCUAAAUAUUGGCGAGGAGACCGAUAGCGAACAAGUACCGUGAGGGAAAGAUGAAAAGAACUUUGAAAAGAGAGUUAAACAGUACGUGAAAUUGUCAAAAGGGAAGCGUUUGACACCAGGUGUUGUUUUUCUGAAAAUCAAUUAAAGAACUGUUUAUGCUAAGCUUGUUUAGACUUUAUUAGCUAUCUGUUUAGUUUUGAGCUUUUCUUUAAUGCACUUUUCAGUUAACAAGUCAACAUCAAUUUCUUUUGCUGUAAAAAAGCUUGAGGAAGGUGGCUUGAGAUUCGUCUUAAGUGUUUAUAGCCUCUUGCCUAUGCAGUCGGAGAGAUUGAGGUCUGCAGCGUAGAUCCUUCGGGGCUAAAUGCAUUUGUGCUAAGUUAUAGCAUUUUAUAGACAACUUGUUGACUAUGAUUUGUCUUGUAGCUUACUCGCUUAUGUUAUUUUACCUACGCUUAGGAUGUUGACGAGACUGUCGAUCUCAUCUAUACAUGACUCUGUGCAUAUCAAUAAGCGGAGGAAAAGCUGUUACCUACGCUUAGGAUGUUGAGCGCAUGUCUCUCUCU
Molecule: ribosomal RNA, 860 nt
Filed under: uncultured Neocallimastigales
Lineage: Eukaryota; Fungi; Neocallimastigomycota; Neocallimastigomycetes; Neocallimastigales
Description: partial large subunit ribosomal RNA
Rfam family: Eukaryotic large subunit ribosomal RNA
Source: RNAcentral